CAGUCUCCUCUUCUCCAAGCUAAAGAGACCCAGCUCCCUCAGUCUUUCCUCAUAAGGGAGAUGUUCCACUCCCUUAAUCAUCUUCAUGGCUCUGCACUGGACUCUCUCAAGCAGUUCCCUGUCCUUCUUGAACUGAGGGGUGCAGAACUGGACACAGUAUGCCAGAUACGGUCUCACCAGGGGUUAAGGAGAACCUCUAUUGACCUACUCACCACACCCCUUCUAAUACACCCCAGGAUGCCACUGGCCCUCUCGACCACAAGGGCACAGUGCUGGCUCAUGGUCAUCCUGCUUUCCAACAGGACCCCCAGGUCCCUUUCCCCUACGUUGUUCUCUAGUAGGUUGUUCCCCAACUUACACUGGAACCUGGGGUUGUUCCUGCCCAAAUAUAAGACUCUACACUUGCCCUUGUUACAUUUAAUUAAAUUUUUCCCUGCCCAACUCUCCAGCCUGUCUAGGUCUGCUGUAGGCUGGGCUUACCCAGCAUUUGAUAUCACUCUUCAAGGUGUAUUAGUCCUUCAACAGGCAAGGUGGGAAUCAGUACAGAAGGUGCAGUGUACACAUACACAAAGAAAAAAAAAAAAAAGGAGUAAGUGGGUUUUGAAAAGGAGGUUUCUGAAUGACUAUAUGGCAGACCUAAAGGGACCUUAGCUACUCCAUCAACUCUGGGCCAGAAGAUACUUCCUGCCAUACAGAGUGAUGGGAUCACAGUGACCCCAUUCAGGACAGGCCAGCAAAAAAGCCAUCGGUGCAAGUUAGAAUAGGCAGGAGAGCAGACUCACAGUAUGAUGGUAGAUGAUGUUUUCCAAGCAGGCGUCUAAUGUGUGGGGCAUUUUCAGAAACCUGAGUAGGCUUAAGAGAAGUGGUAUAAUUGUGUCUUAGAGUAUCACGCUUUCCAGUAAAUUUGUCUCUAGACUGCUUUCCAAACACAGAAACUUUCAUUAGUACUGUCACUGCCUGUGUCUACAAGGAUGUGACCUACACUUCCCAAGCUCACUGUCAUCAAGCAGGUUGCUCUCUACAUUGUUUAAAAUGGUUCUGAGUGGCUAAAUGAGCAGAGAAAUUCACAAAACACUGAAGAGAGAGGAAAAGGGAGACAAAGAUAAGCCAUGGAAACUUUCUGGAAGUGAAUCUGGGAAUUCAUGAAGAUGAACUUUCUUGAAAGGAAAUUAAGUUUUUCAGCACUCUGAACAAGCUCUGACCAGAAGUUAGUUUUCGAAGAAUUGCAGUUCCAGACACAUGUCCACCAUAACAAACACCAGUACCACCGAACCCAAACUCUACAUCUAAAUAGCGUUCCUCGUCUUUAGGAAAUGGAGGCAUGGGUCCAGAUUUUGGUAUCAAUGACACAGUUUUCCUUUAUCUCUACUUCAAAAAGUUUUCCCUGCAUUUAUGUAACCAGUAGGUGGGUACUAGCCCACGUGCAUGGUGGUCUGCCGAAACAAAUCACCCAACAGUGUCUCAGCUCUUCUCUCUCAUGGCAUUUUCAAAUUCAUUGUAGCUCCAGUAAUUUUGAGGAGAAACUUUCCUACGGGGAGAGGAACAGUCCUACUAUAAGUGAUCCGCGCACACACUUAGGCGACUGUUUGGCAAGAAAGAUGUGUGUGAGCAUGUAUAUUUAUGUAUAUGCAUGUGCAUGUGUGUGUACUUGUACCAGUGCACACAGAGAAAUGCAAAAAUCAGAGGGAUUGGGAAAGAAAAGAGAGGACGGGGAACUGGCAAGCUGUAUGUUGCUUGUUAGAUACUGUACACUUGUAAUUAGUAAGAAGGAAGAGGAUGAGAAACCUAGAUGGCAGGAAGAGGCAAGUAUAUAUGACUGUGCUGAUUACAGAUAAAAGACUUUUUAAUGAGCAUGCUUUUAUUACUAUAGGGAAAUUUAUCCCUAGAUAUAGGCUAAGAAAAAAAAAUCCUGCUUCUUUGCUCAGUAGUCAAGGAGUGAUCACAAGAAGAUAGCAUUUUAGAGUUAAUUUUAAUCAAGUAGCAAGGACUUUAUAGAAAAGAAACUCAUGAGAAAUAUCCUCAGGUAUAAAGAUUAGUGCAUUUAGAUUAAAUGAAUUAAUAAACAAAAGUCAGUCUAUGAUAAGGAAUAUUCUUAUUACUUCAAAAAGUACAUUUUGGGAAGUUAAAGGAAUAAUUAGUUAAGAGGCAGGAGAAUUUAGGGACUUAAAUGCAGAGGACAAAUUCAGUAGAGAUUCCUUUAAUUAAGAGAUAGACACAGAAAUAAUCUGUAAGUUUCCUCCAAAAUGAGAAAAAUGUUCUAAGAGAAGGCUCCACAUCCUCACAACCAAAUAAAAAAAAUGAAAUUAUCAUUUGGAGAAAAGAGAAGACUUGGCACAGAAAAAAACAACAAUGCAACAACAAAAAUAAUUAGUUGUUGUACAGAAAAUCAAAAUUGAUAAAAUGCAUGAGGUCACGCAUACAAAGAGGUUUGUGCUGAGAUUAACGUUAAUCUACAGAUGCCCUCUGUGAUACUUUGCCUUCAAUUUCAAAAAGAGCAAAUUAAUUGGUCCAAGGGUUUCCUCCAAAUAAAUAAGCUAAAAUACAACAAAUACAUCUCUUUUGUACCAUCUACCCAAAAGCUACACAAGCCAGUUUCUCAACGCAAAGAAGGCCUAUGUCUAUCCAGUAUAACUUUUCACAAAAUCAUAUAAUAAUUUUGGUUGGAUAAGACCUUUAUAUUCAUAACCAGAUUACCCAGUCUCAGUUUAAAUGACCUGAAAACCUUCAGCAAGGUUUGUGAAUUAGGACUGAAUUUCAAUUCAGGUAACUAAAGAAAGUAAGUUUAGGUUUUAUAGAUAAAAAGGAAAGAUAAAGACCUGAGAAUUACAGCACAGUCAGCCUAAUGAUAUUAACUAGCAAGAUACUGAAACAUGCAAUUAAACAAUCAGUUUGCAAAUGCUUAAAGGUGAGGAGAAAUAGCAGACUUAAAAAUGUCAAGAGCACAUAGUGUCAGACUAGUUUCAUUUCCUUCUUUGAAAGGGAUCAACCUGUCAGAUUAAGAAGUUAGAGAUAUGAGUUACCUUGACUUUAGUAAGACUUUUGACAUUCCCUGUUGACAUCCUAUAAGGAAAUUUGAAACAUACGGCCUAUAAUAAAUUACUACAAGAUAUGUGUAAAGCUGAUCUAAGAAAGUACUUAAAGAUAAUCAUCAGUUAUUCAAGACAAACUAGGCAGAUAUCCAGGAGGAAGAUGAAGAGUACAUGUAUGAAAAUAGUUUUGUGGAGACAAAUGUGAUAUGAAAAUUUUAUUAUAAUUCAAGAAAGAAUUUUUACAAAGGGGAAAAUGUUGAAGCAGUUUGAUUCAUAAUUUUCUAGAUUAAACAUUCUGAUUAAGAAAUGCUGUAAUAGUUGCAUUAACAUUUUCUAAAAUCACUUUUGCAUUUGAAAAAUUAGUAUAAAUAUGUCUUAAAAGAUCAUAAAGUUUUAAUGAAUCAAAACCAAAACAAAUCAUGUCUUGUUGCAUUUCCAUCAUCUAAAAAAAAUAUUUUCCCCAUACUUUAAAACAUAAAUAAAUCAAAGAGGAUUCAAAUGUUGCUAUAACAAGACCGAUGAUCAGUUGAUUUUAUAUUCCCAAGAAAAAACGAAAUAGUCAUCUUAACUUUUAGUGAGCAAGAGUUGGUAAAGAGUUAGUAAAUAGUACACAAGCCUUUGCAACUAUACAGAGAUCUAAGCACUGGAACAAGGCAGCUAGAAAUGUCAUCGGUGCUUUCUGAAAGAUCAGAAAACAAACACCAAACAGGGAUGGUCUCUCUGUGACAUUCCACCUUAAGUGAAAGCAUGAAUCCAACGACAUCUUGAGAUCCUCUUGUCCAAUCUUUUACCCUGCUUAGUUGUCAGCUUCCUGGACAGGGAAUACAGUAGUGUGAAAGUGUUAUGCUGUCACCAUCCUCUCCAGGAAUAUCAGGGUCAGAAGGCAGGUUUCAUGAUAUGGAGUGUACAUCCUUUGGGUCAAGAUCAUAAUUUAGAUUUUAUUUACUACAAAAAGCUAUAGAUAUCUGGUGCAAUUUAAAUAUUUGAAAUUGAUCAAACCCUGUUAAUUACAGAGAUAGAAGUGUGCAAUAUGGGUCACUUGACAGGGUAGAGAGCAAAAAACCAAGAUUGUGAAAGAGGCCACGUGUAGUUAGAUGUUAAAACGCUUGUUUCUGAUGAACAAUGUUGAGUUUCUCUCUGUACACUAGCAGUCUUUUCUGUAAAUAUCUAUAGCAUAAAGCAAAACCGUGCAAUAAUUGAGAACUUCAAUAUAGAGGAUAUUGGUUCAUUAGAGCUGAAGAAUUUUUUUUGGCAAAGUUCUCUUUUUUAUUAAAUCCAAAAUGUUUCUUGAGGACACAGUCAGAUGGAUUGCUGUGUCAGAACUAAAGAGAGAGAGAAGAUGAAUAAAAAAGAGACUGCAGCUUUGUAGCUACAGUGUGAUAUGCAGUAUAAAAGAAUCAAGUUCAUGUUGGCUUGGAGUGAUUGGAAGGGACAGGGCAUUUUAGUAAUCAAACAGAUCCAUGAUUUGAAUAAUCAGGCUGCAGGUUAUGAUUAGAAGCAUCAAACAGAUUCAAAGAUUUGGGGAUUUUUGGCCUACAGCAAAACAAAAUUUAGAACCUUUCAAAAGAUGUCUAAAUUCAAAUAUUAUAUUUGUGAUCAAUACCAUGUGAAAGUCUAUAUUUCUGUGUAGAGGAAAAAUCCUCUUUCCUCCUUAGAAAAAAAUAAAUGUCUACUAUCAUUGCUUGCCUCCA
Long non-coding RNA from Columba livia (rock pigeon), 4720 nucleotides. RefSeq lists it as uncharacterized. The record is from RefSeq and is a predicted model, not a curated record. Lineage: Eukaryota; Metazoa; Chordata; Aves; Columbiformes; Columbidae. The transcript has 3 exons.